This 514-nucleotide ribosomal RNA is filed under the name uncultured Alphaproteobacteria bacterium. RNAcentral's name for it is "bacterial SSU rRNA". It matches the Rfam family "Bacterial small subunit ribosomal RNA", at positions 344 to 875 of the family's 1533-position model. Lineage: Bacteria; Pseudomonadati; Pseudomonadota; Alphaproteobacteria. The record is from RNAcentral.
GGAGGCAGCAGUGGGGAAUANNNNNCAAUGGGCGAAAGCCUGAUCCAGCAAUGCCGCGUGAGUGAUGAAGGCCUUAGGGUUGUAAAGCUCUUUUACCAGGGAUGAUAAUGACAGUACCUGGAGAAUAAGCUCCGGCUAACUCCGUGCCAGCAGCCGCGGUAAUACGGAGGGAGCUAGCGUUGUUCGGAAUUACUGGGCGUAAAGCGCGCGUAGGCGGUGACUCAAGUCAGAGGUGAAAGCCCGGGGCUCAACCCCGGAACUGCCUUUGAAACUAGGUCGCUAGAAUCUUGGAGAGGCGAGUGGAAUUCCGAGUGUAGAGGUGAAAUUCGUAGAUAUUCGGAAGAACACCAGUGGCGAAGGCGACUCGCUGGACAAGUAUUGACGCUGAGGUGCGAAAGUGUGGGGAGCAAACAGGAUUAGAUACCCUGGUAGUCCACACCGUAAACGAUGAUAACUAGCUGUCCGCGCUCUCCGCGUCCCCGCGGCCCGUGCCCGACCGCACUCCGUCCGCCUG